CUAGACUUGUUCUUUUCGUAUCCUUGGGGUAGAAUCUCGUACGGACGUCUGAUAAAGGGCUUUCGGGGCCGUUGGGCAAGAAAAUUUUUGGAUGCGACGAAGAAGAAGGAGAAGGCGGUUAGCUACACGGUCCACGGCUUUCCCAUUGCCAUACAAGUAUCUUUAUUUUACCUACAAAUUAUUUCAAUGCAAAUGUAUUUCGUGGUUGGUUUCGUUCUGAACUGACAUUCCUUUUUUAUUCUAACAGAUAUGGGCGUUCGAGGCGGUGCCUGAAAUUGGUGACCGCUUCGGUGAGCGUCUUGGGGAACGUUCCCCACGGCUUCUCGGCUGGACAUCAACAAAACAGCCGCAGCAGCGUACGUACGACGCUUUCUUCAAGAAUGUACAGGUAAAAAAUUAUGUUACUUCUACGAUCUCAUACCUUCCAUUCGUCAUUGUAGCAUGUGGUUAUUUCGUAACGAAUAUGUUCAUGUUGUAGCUACACGUGUACGCGACACUGCGGCCCACCGAGACUGAGCGUGGGCAACCUCAUAUCGCCACUCUUGUGCUGCUCAAUGAUGAUCCUGUCCCUGCGUUGGAUGACCUUGCUAGGGACAGUGUUGCU
RNAcentral lists this long non-coding RNA (604 nucleotides) under Olea europaea (common olive). RNAcentral's name for it is "long non-coding RNA (OEUR_LNC005827)". Lineage: Eukaryota; Viridiplantae; Streptophyta; Magnoliopsida; Lamiales; Oleaceae. The record is from RNAcentral.